This 24-nucleotide non-coding RNA is filed under the name Rattus norvegicus (Norway rat). The record is from RNAcentral. Lineage: Eukaryota; Metazoa; Chordata; Mammalia; Rodentia; Muridae.
GCUCCCUGUCUUUCUAUGAUCAAC